AACGAACGCUGGCGGCAUGCCUAACACAUGCAAGUCGAACGAGACCUUCGGGUCUCGUGGCGCACGGGUGCGUAACGCGUGGGAACCUGCCCUUAGGUUCGGAAUAACUCCCCGAAAGGGGUGCUAAUACCGGAUAAUGUCCUCGUACCAAAGAUUUAUCGCCUUUGGAUGGGCCCGCGUUGGAUUAGCUAGUUGGUAGGGUAAAAGCCUACCAAGGCGACGAUCCAUAGCUGGUCUGAGAGGAUGAUCAGCCACACUGGGACUGAGACACGGCCCAGACUCCUACGGGAGGCAGCAGUGGGGAAUAUUGGACAAUGGGCGAAAGCCUGAUCCAGCAAUGCCGCGUGAGUGAUGAAGGCCUUAGGGUUGUAAAGCUCUUUUACCCGGGAUGAUAAUGACAGUACCGGGAGAAUAAGCUCCGGCUAACUCCGUG
RNAcentral lists this ribosomal RNA (433 nucleotides) under uncultured bacterium. RNAcentral describes it as "partial 16S ribosomal RNA". It matches the Rfam family "Bacterial small subunit ribosomal RNA", at positions 29 to 507 of the family's 1533-position model. The record is from RNAcentral.